RNAcentral lists this ribosomal RNA (646 nucleotides) under uncultured Actinobacillus sp. RNAcentral's name for it is "bacterial SSU rRNA". It matches the Rfam family "Bacterial small subunit ribosomal RNA", at positions 28 to 661 of the family's 1533-position model. Lineage: Bacteria; Pseudomonadati; Pseudomonadota; Gammaproteobacteria; Pasteurellales; Pasteurellaceae. The record is from RNAcentral.
AUUGAACGCUGGCGGCAGGCUUAACACAUGCAAGUCGAACGGUAACAGGAAGAAAGCUUGCUUUCUUUGCUGACGAGUGGCGGACGGGUGAGUAAUGCUUGGGAAUCUGGCUUAUGGAGGGGGAUAACUACGGGAAACUGUAGCUAAUACCGCGUAGUAUCGGAAGAUGAAAGUGUGGGACCGCAAGGCCACAUGCCAUAAGAUGAGCCCAAGUGGGAUUAGGUAGUUGGUUAGGUAAAGGCUGACCAAGCCGACGAUCUCUAGCUGGUCUGAGAGGAUGACCAGCCACACUGGAACUGAGACACGGUCCAGACUCCUACGGGAGGCAGCAGUGGGGAAUAUUGCACAAUGGGGGGAACCCUGAUGCAGCCAUGCCGCGUGAAUGAAGAAGGCCUUCGGGUUGUAAAGUUCUUUCGGUGAUGAGGAAGGUGUUUGUUUUAAUAGGACAAGCAAUUGACGUUAGUCACAGAAGAAGCACCGGCUAACUCCGUGCCAGCAGCCGCGGUAAUACGGAGGGUGCGAGCGUUAAUCGGAAUAACUGGGCGUAAAGGGCACGCAGGCGGUGACUUAAGUGAGAUGUGAAAGCCCCGGGCUUAACCUGGGAAUUGCAUUUCAUACUGGGUCGCUAGAGUACUUUAGGGAGGGG